This 491-nucleotide ribosomal RNA is filed under the name uncultured bacterium. RNAcentral describes it as "partial 16S ribosomal RNA". It matches the Rfam family "Bacterial small subunit ribosomal RNA", at positions 29 to 507 of the family's 1533-position model. The record is from RNAcentral.
GUGAACGCUGGCGGUAGGCCUAACACCUGCAAGUCGAACGGCAGCACAGUAAGAGCUUGCUCUUACGGGUGGCGAGUGGCGGACGGGUGAGGAAUACAUCGGAAUCUACUUUUUCGUGGGGGAUAACGUAGGGAAACUUACGCUAAUACCGCAUACGACCUACGGGUGAAAGCAGGGGAUCUUCGGACCUUGCGCGAUUGAAUGAGCCGAUGUCGGAUUAGCUAGUUGGCGGGGUAAAGGCCCACCAAGGCGACGAUCCGUAGCUGGUCUGAGAGGAUGAUCAGCCACACUGGAACUGAGACACGGUCCAGACUCCUACGGGAGGCAGCAGUGGGGAAUAUUGGACAAUGGGCGCAAGCCUGAUCCAGCCAUACCGCGUGGGUGAAGAAGGCCUUCGGGUUGUAAAGCCCUUUUGUUGGGAAAGAAAAGCAGCAGGGUAAUACCCCGCUGUUCUGACGGUACCCAAAGAAUAAGCACCGGCUAACUUCGUG